CACAUGCAAGUCGAGGGGCAUCACGGAAAAGCUUGCUUUUCUGGUGGCGACCGGCGCACGGGUGCGGAACGCGUAUGGAACCUGCCCCUGUCAGGGGAAUAGCCCAGGGAAACUUGGAUUAAUGCCCCAUGGUACCGCGAUAUCGCAUGAUAUUGCGGUUAAAGAUUUAUCGGACAGGGAUGGCCAUGCGUACCAUUAGUUAGUUGGUGGGGUAACGGCCCACCAAGGCAGCGAUGGUUAGGGGCCCUGAGAGGGGGAUCCCCCACACUGGUACUGAGACACGGACCAGACUCCUACGGGAGGCAGCAGUGAGGAAUAUUGGACAAUGGGCGGGAGCCUGAUCCAGCCAUGCCGCGUGCAGGAUGACGGCCCUAUGGGUUGUAAACUGCUUUUAUACGGGAAGAAAUGCGCCCACGUGUGGGCGUCUGACGGUACCGUAAGAAUAAGGACCGGCUAACUCCGUGCCAGCAGCCGCGGUAAUACGGAGGGUCCGAGCGUUAUCCGGAAUCAUUGGGUUUAAAGGGUCCGUAGGCGGGCCUGUAAGUCAGGGGUGAAAGUUUGUGGCUCAACCAUAAAAUUGCCUUUGAUACUGCAGGUCUUGAGUCAUGGUGGGGUCGCCGGAACAUGUGGUGUAGCGGUGAAAUGCAUAGAUAUCACAUAGAACACCGAUCGCGAAGGCAGGUGGCCAACCAUGUACUGACGCUGAUGGACGAAAGCGUGGGUAGCGAACGGGAUUAGAUACCCCGGUAGUCCACGCCGUAAACGAUGGAUACUAGCUGUGGGGACUUCGGUCUCCGUGG
RNAcentral lists this ribosomal RNA (800 nucleotides) under Allomuricauda sp. Its description in RNAcentral is "bacterial SSU rRNA". It matches the Rfam family "Bacterial small subunit ribosomal RNA", at positions 52 to 846 of the family's 1533-position model. The record is from RNAcentral. Lineage: Bacteria; Pseudomonadati; Bacteroidota; Flavobacteriia; Flavobacteriales; Flavobacteriaceae.